Molecule: ribosomal RNA, 439 nt
Filed under: uncultured bacterium
Lineage: Bacteria
Description: bacterial SSU rRNA
Rfam family: Bacterial small subunit ribosomal RNA
Source: RNAcentral
UCCUACGGGAGGCAGCAGUGGGGAAUAUUGGACAAUGGGGGCAACCCUGAUCCAGCCAUGCCGCGUGAGUGAUGAAGGCCUUCGGGUUGUAAAGCUCUUUUGGCGGGGACGAUGAUGACGGUACCCGCAGAAUAAGCCCCGGCUAACUUCGUGCCAGCAGCCGCGGUAAGACGAAGGGGGCUAGCGUUGUUCGGAAUUACUGGGCGUAAAGCGAGUGUAGGUGGUUGUCAUAGUCAGGUGUGAAAGCCUUGAGCUCAACUCAAGAAAUGCACUUGAUACUGGGCGACUAGAGGACCGGAGAGGAUAGUGGAAUUCCCAGUGUAGUGGUGAAAUACGUAGAGAUUGGGAAGAACACCAGUGGCGAAGGCGGCUAUCUGGACGGUUUCUGACACUAAGACUCGAAAGCGUGGGGAGCAAACAGGAUUAGAUACCCUGGUAG